AGCGAACGUUAGCGGCAGGCCUAACACAUGCAAGUCGAGCGAGAAAGGGGCUUCGGCCCUGAGUAAAGCGGCGGACGGGUGCGUAACACGUGGAUCAUCUGCCCUUCAGUGGGGAAUAACACGCCGAAAGGCGUGCUAAUGCCGCAUGUCACAGUUGAGUUUCAGAGCUCGAUUGGAAAAGGGGACGCCCGCAAGGGGUUCUCGCUGGAGGAUGAGUCCGCGGCCCAUCAGCUAGUUGGCGGGGUAAUGGCCACCAAGGCGAAGACGGGUAGCUGGUCUGAGAGGAUGACCAGUCACACUGGGACUGAGACACGGCCCAGACUCCUACGGGAGGCAGCAGUGGGAAUUUUCCGCAAUGGCGAAAGCCUGACGCAGCAACGCCGCGUGAGGGAAGAAGGCCU
Molecule: ribosomal RNA, 401 nt
Filed under: uncultured bacterium
Lineage: Bacteria
Description: bacterial SSU rRNA
Rfam family: Bacterial small subunit ribosomal RNA
Source: RNAcentral